RNAcentral lists this long non-coding RNA (453 nucleotides) under Brassica napus (rape). RNAcentral describes it as "long non-coding RNA (BNAP_LNC024695)". Lineage: Eukaryota; Viridiplantae; Streptophyta; Magnoliopsida; Brassicales; Brassicaceae. The record is from RNAcentral.
GCGUCCAUUAUGUAUUAUUAGUACUUGUAUUACAGGAACUUGUACUUUAAGUCAUAUGUAAAAAUAAAUGUUUAGGCUCAUGCAUGGGUAUAUCUGAAUGUUUGAAGUAAAGAGAGCUAUCAACACGUAUACAUUGUACGCUGCUUGUAUUAUAAAAAUAUUAAAACAAGAUGUACCUACAAUCUGAUGUUCUACUCUUUCCUCUUCAAUAAAAGAAAUGAUUAAUAAGGUACCAACGUAUUUUUUUGGUAAAACAAGGCACCAACUUUACCUUCUUUUUUUUGUUCAAUUUUCUAAUGAAAACUAAAGCUUGGUUUCUUUUUGUUCAGUUCUUUAAUUACAAGAAUCUAAAGCUUGAUUUAUAGCAUUAAUUUUCAAACGCAUAUAUUAACCAACACAUGAAAUGUUAUAUCUUACUUAUAAUUUCAUAAUAUAUUUUUCUUUAUCAGCUCA